This 343-nucleotide ribosomal RNA is filed under the name uncultured Aeromonas sp. RNAcentral describes it as "bacterial SSU rRNA". It matches the Rfam family "Bacterial small subunit ribosomal RNA", at positions 442 to 777 of the family's 1533-position model. The record is from RNAcentral. Lineage: Bacteria; Pseudomonadati; Pseudomonadota; Gammaproteobacteria; Aeromonadales; Aeromonadaceae.
AGGAGGAAAGGUUGGCGCCUAAUACGUGUCAACUGUGACGUUACUCGCAGAAGAAGCACCGGCUAACUCCGUGCCAGCAGCCGCGGUAAUACGGAGGGUGCAAGCGUUAAUCGGAAUUACUGGGCGUAAAGCGCACGCAGGCGGUUGGAUAAGUUAUAUGUGAAAGCCCCGGGCUCAACCUGGGAAUUGCAUUUAAAACUGUCUAGCUAGAGUCUUGUAGAGGGGGGUAGAAUUCCAGGUGUAGCGGUGAAAUGCGUAGAGAUCUGGAGGAAUACCGGUGGCGAAGGCGGCCCCCUGGACAAAGACUGACGCUCAGGUGCGAAAGCGUGGGGAGCAAACAGGA